This 465-nucleotide ribosomal RNA is filed under the name Vreelandella stevensii. RNAcentral's name for it is "partial 16S ribosomal RNA". It matches the Rfam family "Bacterial small subunit ribosomal RNA", at positions 338 to 795 of the family's 1533-position model. Lineage: Bacteria; Pseudomonadati; Pseudomonadota; Gammaproteobacteria; Oceanospirillales; Halomonadaceae. The record is from RNAcentral.
CCUACGGGCGGCUGCAGUGGGGAAUAUUGGACAAUGGGGGCAACCCUGAUCCAGCCAUGCCGCGUGUGUGAAGAAGGCCCUCGGGUUGUAAAGCACUUUCAGUGAGGAAGAACGCCUGGUGGUUAAUACCCAUCAGGAAAGACAUCACUCACAGAAGAAGCACCGGCUAACUCCGUGCCAGCAGCCGCGGUAAUACGGAGGGUGCGAGCGUUAAUCGGAAUUAGUGGGCGUAAAGCGCGCGUAGGUGGCUUGAUAAGCCGGUUGUGAAAGCCCCGGGCUCAACCUGGGAACGGCAUCCGGAACUGUCAAGCUAGAGUGCAGGAGAGGAAGGUAGAAUUCCCGGUGUAGCGGUGAAAUGCGUAGAGAUCGGGAGGAAUACCAGUGGCGAAGGCGGCCUUCUGGACUGACACUGACACUGAGGUGCGAAAGCGUGGGUAGCAAACAGGAUUAGAUACCCCAGUAGUC